UACGUAGGGUGCAAGCGUUGUCCGGAAUUAUUGGGCGUAAAGAGCUCGUAGGCGGUCUGUCGCGUCUGCUGUGAAAACUCAGGGCUUAACCCUGAGCUUGCAGUGGGUACGGGCAGACUAGAGUGUGGUAGGGGAGACUGGAAUUCCUGGUGUAGCGGUGAAAUGCGCAGAUAUCAGGAGGAACACCGGUGGCGAAGGCGGGUCUCUGGGCCGUAACUGACGCUGAGGAGCGAAAGCAUGGGGAGCGAACAGG
RNAcentral lists this ribosomal RNA (253 nucleotides) under uncultured bacterium. RNAcentral describes it as "partial 16S ribosomal RNA". It matches the Rfam family "Bacterial small subunit ribosomal RNA", at positions 524 to 776 of the family's 1533-position model. The record is from RNAcentral.